Molecule: ribosomal RNA, 498 nt
Filed under: uncultured bacterium
Lineage: Bacteria
Description: partial 16S ribosomal RNA
Rfam family: Bacterial small subunit ribosomal RNA
Source: RNAcentral
GACGAACGCUGGCGGCGUGCCUAAUACAUGCAAGUCGAACGAGAGCGACCUGUGCUUGCACUGGUCAAUCUAGUGGCGAACGGGUGAGUAACACGUGGGUAACCUGCCCAUCAGAGGGGGAUAACAUCCGGAAACGGAUGCUAAAACCGCAUAGGUCUUCGAACCGCAUGGUUUGAAGAGGAAAAGAGGCGCAAGCUUCUGCUGAUGGAUGGACCCGCGGUGCAUUAGCUAGUUGGUGAGGUAACGGCUCACCAAGGCCGUGAUGCAUAGCCGACCUGAGAGGGUGAUCGGCCACAUUGGGACUGAGACACGGCCCAAACUCCUACGGGAGGCAGCAGUAGGGAAUCUUCCGCAAUGGACGCAAGUCUGACGGAGCAACGCCGCGUGAGUGAAGAAGGUUUUCGGAUCGUAAAACUCUGUUGUUAGAGAAGAACAAGUGCUAGAGUAACUGUUAGCGCCUUGACGGUAUCUAACCAGAAAGCCACGGCUAACUACGUG